UGGAAGACUUGUGAUUGUGUUGU
RNAcentral lists this microRNA (23 nucleotides) under Petromyzon marinus (sea lamprey). RNAcentral describes it as "pma-miR-7b". Its record names the gene pma-miR-7b. Lineage: Eukaryota; Metazoa; Chordata; Hyperoartia; Petromyzontiformes; Petromyzontidae. The record is from miRBase by way of RNAcentral.